Molecule: long non-coding RNA, 2838 nt
Organism: Crotalus tigris (Tiger rattlesnake)
Lineage: Eukaryota; Metazoa; Chordata; Lepidosauria; Squamata; Viperidae
Exons: 3
Source: RefSeq, a predicted model, not a curated record
UCCUGGAAGAAGGUUGCCAAGCAACCAGCAAACUUUCAGCUGAGAGCUGAUGUAUCUGGGCACAACAGUCAGAUUCCCCCCAUCAGUUGCAACUAACUUGAUUUUGAUGGAUUAAAAGAAGAUGAAAAUCUACUCAGCUCCUCCCUUUGAAGUACCGGGAUCAUUAAGUUCCAUAGUCAAUCAUCUCAAGCAAUGGACAAUGCAUACACCAGUCUUUUAUCAGGCACGUUCUUCUGCCAAUUCUCUUGGCAAUAUGAUAGUUGGGGUAUGGAAGUUGAAGACCACUCUAUUUUCAAGGCAUCAAGCUGGUAAACAUUGAAAUUUUGGCCCAGCAACUCAAAGCUGAAGAACUCAGCUGGUGACAAGCAACUCAUCUGCCACCAAUGGAGAGGCAUCUGCUGCAUUAAAGCAAAUUAUCUGGAAAGAGAGUACACAGUUUGUGGCUGGUCCUCUUGUUUUUUUUACUGUAUAUAUUACCAACAUAGCUGACACAGAAGAGAUGUACUGCUCUUGAACAUAUUUCUGUCUCUGUACUAAAACAUGGCUAAUCGUGUUUUAGAUUCUACUGACAUUCAUUAAAUUUGUGAAAGAUGGCAUAUAUGAGUACAUUUAACAAGAUUGACAGAUUUCUCUGCAGCUACUUCUGCCUUCACCUUUGCAAUCAAACCUAAAAAUACUGAUCCUCACACACUAAGGCCAACAUCUCUCUCUUGGCAACUUAAAAGUAGCCACCACGAGGGAGGAAGGCACUGGCUUCUAUAGUUUGGCAGAAUAUAAAUGACUCUUUCUAAAGAGCUUUUGUGGGUUUAUUUAACAAGCAGAUCAAGCCAGCCUCUUUUUAUUCCUGCAUGUAAGUAAUUACGUUGGCAAAAUGGGGAGAGAGUCAGCAAAAGUACAAGACAGAUUUUUUUUUCUGACUGGGAAUUCUGAGAGUUGAAGUCCACACCCCUUAAGGUUGCUGAGUUUGAAAAACAUAGGUGUAGAGGAUAGAGGUUUUGUGGGGGGGAAAUCACUUGUAUUCUGGAACACAUUCACAGUAUUAUUACCUUAUUUUAAUUUUAUUUAUUUAUAUCCUGCAUUUAUUACUUUUAUAAAUAACUCAAGGCAGCAACAAUACCUACUGUAGUACUCCUUCUUCCUCCUCUUCCCCAUAUAGCAACAGCCCUGUAAGGUGAAUUGGGCUGUGAGAAUGUGACUGGCCCAAAGUCAUCCAGAUGGCUUUCAUGCCAAAGUGGGAAUGGGAAGUUUCUAACCUGCGUCUAACCUGGGCCUUAUCCUGUAGACCAAAUAUACACAGUGUUAAGCUCUGCUUUUCCCUGUGUAUAUCUCAGAUUUCACAGGGGAGGGGCAGGGGGAAGAUGCUUCUUUUUCUUCCAACAGCUGUAGGUAACCUGUCAAAAGGUUUUUGGAGUGUUUUCUAUUUUGUUGUCAGUUUUCUUCUUUAGGGUGUUUUAGUUAUGUUUUAGUUUGCUUAUCUCUGCUACUAUAUAUUUUGUAAAUUUGCUGUCUUUGCUAUUUCUAGUUUAUAUUUUAAUGAGUAUUAAUUUAUUUAUAAAACGUAUUACCUAUGCUCGCAGGCAUGCAAGGGCAUAAAAUAUCCAGGUUCAUUUAUAAAAGCUGAUCCUUAGUAGCUCUUCCACAUGAUGCUUCAUGUUGCCUGGGGUUUGAGGACAAAUUAAAAUAACGUAGGUAAAACAUUUAAAAGUAAUGGAAAAGACAUUGUGGAAAUAGAUUUCAAUUUAAAAGAAAAGAAAGGAAUAUACUCCAGAUUGUUCCAGAUGUCUUAAAAGCUUUACAUUAAAGUAUGGUUUUUAUAACCAUAGUUUCUUGAAUAUGUCACAGUUGGCUGAGUCUGUACACCAUGUAAAGUCAAGAGUAAUUUUUUUUACAAAUUAAGGGCCGGCGGGGACAAUGACAUUGAAUGGUGGGCAGAACUGGACAAUCAGAAUCCCAUCCCUUUUUUUUCUGUGCUUGCAGUGUACGAAAUGCAUGUUAAGGCUUCUAUCGUCAGUCACAUCUGCUAUUUGGACAUCACACACACACACACACACACACAUACAGUACACACACCAAAUACCCUUGAGUUUGCACUAGAUGCUAGGUGAUGUGAGAACUCAUCAGACAUGCCAAUCAUUACCUAUUUUCUCUAACCAAAUCUCCAUUUCCUUGGAAAGAUAAGCAGCCAAACUUUUGCUGAACAACUGUCAAAACAAAACAUUAAGUAUACAUUAGAGAUGUGUGGUAACCACGCCCAAGAUAUUAACGUCUUCUCUUUUAAAGUAUUAAACUACUUUGUAACAAGAAGAGAUUAUUUUAAAAAACGCACACAGAGAUGAGAAAAGUGCGGUCUUGGCUUGUUUAUACCGCAACGUUGCUAAGCAUCAGCUGCUUAAAAUAAUCAUUUAACCAUUUUUUUAUUGAUGUAGUAUAAGCACAUGCUGUAGUAAUUUUGACAGUAUUCUUGAGAUAGUUGUUUAGUUGUACUUUUUAUCAAGCAUUAAAAAUUUUAAGAUUGCUUCAAAUUUUACCUGUUGAGAUGUUUAUUAAGUGCUUUAGGGACAGAUCUAGAAUACAGAAUUGCAAUGAGCAUCUGUAAUGUACACAGAUGUACAAAGGAGAUAAAAGGCAUAAAGGUGAAGAUGUUGUACCAAGAUCAGGAGACUCAAGUUCAAGUUUACUUGAAACCUUUUUUGGAGGUGCAAGACUGAGGGAACUAAACUCAUAGAGAGUAAAAAAGAUGACCUGGAUGGAGAUAAGCCAGAUCUGUUCCCAGAGGAAAUAGACAUGGAACAUCAAUCCUGAUAGAUAACUCCAUAGUUUCACAGGAUGAUAAGCAGA